This 425-nucleotide ribosomal RNA is filed under the name uncultured bacterium. RNAcentral's name for it is "bacterial LSU rRNA". It matches the Rfam family "Bacterial large subunit ribosomal RNA", at positions 1431 to 1845 of the family's 2925-position model. The record is from RNAcentral.
CAAUAUUCCUGUACCGACGUACAGUGCGAUGUGGGGACGGAGAAGGUUAGCUCAGCCGGGUGUUGGAUGUCCCGGUUCAAGCCCGUAGUCAUGGUUUCUAGGCAAAUCCGGAGACCUUAGAUGAGAGGUGAUAACGAGGCGGCUUGCCGCCGAAGUGAGCAAUACCCUGCUUCCAAGGAAAAGCCACUAAGCUUCAGCUGUACGCGACCGUACCGCAAACCGACACUGGUGCGCGAGAUGAGUAUUCUAAGGCGCUUGAGAGAACUCUGGAGAAGGAACUCGGCAAAUUGACACCGUAACUUCGGAAGAAGGUGUGCCUUUAGUAGGUGAUCCUGUACAAGGGGAGCCCAAUGAGGCCGCAGAGAAUCGGUGGCUGCGACUGUUUAUUAAAAACACAGCACUCUGCAAAGACGAAAGUCGACGUA